CAGGGUCCCAGGGGACCUCAGGGCAUGAUGGGACCUCCAGGCAAAGCAGGAAGAAGAGGCCGUGCAGGAGCUGAUGGUGCCAGGGGAAUGCCAGGAGAGUCUGGAAUUAAGGGUGACCGUGGUUUUGAUGGUCUUCCUGGUUUGCCAGGUGACAAAGGACACAGGGGUGACACUGGAGGAAUGGGACCCCCGGGACCUCAAGGAGAG
This is a non-coding RNA of Plectropomus leopardus (leopard coralgrouper), 207 nucleotides long. The record is from RefSeq and is a predicted model, not a curated record. Lineage: Eukaryota; Metazoa; Chordata; Actinopteri; Perciformes; Serranidae.